This 259-nucleotide ribosomal RNA is filed under the name uncultured prokaryote. Its description in RNAcentral is "partial 16S ribosomal RNA". It matches the Rfam family "Bacterial small subunit ribosomal RNA", at positions 524 to 782 of the family's 1533-position model. The record is from RNAcentral.
UACGGAGGAUGCAAGCGUUAUCCGGAUUCAUUGGGUUUAAAGGGUGCGUAGGCGGACUAUUAAGUCAGUGGUGAAAGCCUGCAGCUUAACUGCAGAACUGCCAUUGAUACUGAUAGUCUUGAGUUUGGUUAAGGUAGGCGGAAUGUGUAAUGUAGCGGUGAAAUGCUUAAAUAUUACACAGAACACCAAUUGCGUAGGCAGCUUACUGAGCCGACACUGACGCUGAGGCACGAAAGCGUGGGGAUCGAACAGGAUUAGA